GGGAACAAGUUGGAGAAAUUGUUGGCUUUCCUAUCAAAGCUGCUGAAGGAGAAUUGACUUUGGAGAAAGUCAUAGAUUAUGGUUUCGACGAUUUUGUGGACAGAUUCGUCCUGGUGUCAGAAUAUGCCACCAAAGAAAACGAUUUGGAAGAAGCCUUAAACACUAUGAUGUCCGAAUGGAGUGAUGUCAAAUUUAAAAUAGAACCUUACAGUGAUACUGGUACUUUUAUUCUGUCAUCAAUCGAUGAAAUUCAAGUUCUUCUUGAUGACCACAUCGUCAAAACUCAAACCAUGAAGUCAUCACCUUAUAUAAAACCGUUUGAAAGCAU
Long non-coding RNA from Ctenocephalides felis (cat flea), 328 nucleotides. RefSeq lists it as uncharacterized. The transcript has 3 exons. The record is from RefSeq and is a predicted model, not a curated record. NCBI's taxonomy places the organism in Eukaryota, Metazoa, Arthropoda, Insecta, Siphonaptera, Pulicidae.